Molecule: non-coding RNA, 142 nt
Organism: Notechis scutatus (mainland tiger snake)
Lineage: Eukaryota; Metazoa; Chordata; Lepidosauria; Squamata; Elapidae
Source: RefSeq, a predicted model, not a curated record
CUGCUUCAACCCGGUCUACUCAUGUCGUUUCAGCCAGGUCUACCCAAUGCAGAGAGGAAAGAUCAAGCCAGCAAAGCUUCAGCCUGGUCUACCUGGUGCGAAAAGGAAAGAUCAGGCUAACCUUUGGCCCAGUCUACCCAAU